AGAGUUUGAUCAUGGCUCAGAUUGAACGCUGGCGGCGUGCCUAACACAUGCAAGUCGAGCGGUAACAGGCGUAGCAAUACGUGCUGACGAGCGGCGAACGGGUGAGUAACGCUUCGGAAUCUGCCCAAUGGUGGGGAAUAACCAGCCGAAAGGUUGGCUAAUUCCGCAUGAGCCCUACGGGGGAAAGCGGGGGAUCGCAAGACCUCGCGCCGAUGGAUGAGCCGAAGCCGGAUUAGCUAGUUGGUAGGGUAACGGCCUACCAAGGCGACGAUCCGUAGCUGGUCUGAGAGGACGACCAGCCACACUGGGACUGGGACACGGCCCAGACUCCUACGGGAGGCAGCAGUGGGGAAUAUUGGACAAUGGGGGAAACCCUGAUCCAGCGACGCCGCGUGUGUGAAGAAGGCCUGCGGGUUGUAAAGCACUUUUAGUGGGGAUGAAAAGCUCAGGGCUAACACCUCUGGGUCUUGACCUAACCCACAGAAAAAGCACCGGCUAACUCUGUGCCAGCAGCCGCGGUAAUACAGAGGGUGCAAGCGUUAAUCGGAAUUACUGGGCGUAAAGCGUACGUAGACGGUUGGAUAAGUCGGAUGUGAAAGCCCCGGGCUCAACCUGGGAAUGGCAUUCGAGACUGUUCAGCUAGGGUGCGGAAGAGGGAAGCGGAAUUUCCGGUGUAGCGGUGAAAUGCGUAGAUAUCGGAAGGAACACCAGUGGCGAAAGCGGCUUCCUGGUCCAGCACCGACGUUCAGGUACGAAAGCAUGGGGAGCAAACAGGAUUAGAUACCCUAGUAGUCC
RNAcentral lists this ribosomal RNA (795 nucleotides) under uncultured bacterium. Its description in RNAcentral is "bacterial SSU rRNA". It matches the Rfam family "Bacterial small subunit ribosomal RNA", at positions 8 to 796 of the family's 1533-position model. The record is from RNAcentral.